RNAcentral lists this ribosomal RNA (466 nucleotides) under uncultured bacterium. Its description in RNAcentral is "bacterial SSU rRNA". It matches the Rfam family "Bacterial small subunit ribosomal RNA", at positions 329 to 792 of the family's 1533-position model. The record is from RNAcentral.
UGCCAGACUCCUACGGGAGGCAGCAGUGAGGAAUAUUGGUCAAUGGGCGCGAGCCUGAACCAGCCAAGUCGCGUGAGGGAUGACGGCCCUACGGGUUGUAAACCUCUUUUGUCGGGGAGCAAAUUCCGUUACGUGUAACGGAGUCGAGAGUACCCGAAGAAAAAGCAUCGGCUAACUCCGUGCCAGCAGCCGCGGUAAUACGGAGGAUGCGAGCGUUAUCCGGAUUUAUUGGGUUUAAAGGGUGCGCAGGCGGUCUGUUAAGUCAGCGGUCAAAGCCCGGGGCUCAACCCCGGUCCGCCGUUGAAACUGGCAGUCUCGAGUUGGAGAGAAGUAUGCGGAAUGCGCGGUGUAGCGGUGAAAUGCAUAGAUAUCGCGCAGAACUCCGAUUGCGAAGGCAGCAUGCCGGCUCCACACUGACGCUGAGGCACGAAAGCGUGGGUAUCGAACAGGAUUAGAUACCCUAGUA